This 253-nucleotide ribosomal RNA is filed under the name uncultured microorganism. RNAcentral's name for it is "partial 16S ribosomal RNA". It matches the Rfam family "Bacterial small subunit ribosomal RNA", at positions 524 to 776 of the family's 1533-position model. The record is from RNAcentral.
UACGUAGGGUGCGAGCGUUAAUCGGAUUUACUGGGAGUAAAGCGUGCGCAGGCGGCCCGUUAAGACAGGUGUGAAAUCCCUGGGCUCAACCUAGGAAUUGCGCUUGUGACUGGCGGGCUCGAGUACGGUAGAGGGGGGUGGAAUUCCUGGUGUAGCAGUGAAAUGCGUAGAGAUCAGGAGGAACACCGAUGGCGAAGGCAGCCCCCUGGGCCUGUACUGACGCUCAUGCACGAAAGCGUGGGGAGCAAACAGG